GUGGGUGUAGUUCAGUUGGCUAGAACGCCAGAUUGUGGCUCUGGAGGUCGUCGGUUCGAGUCCGAUCAUCCACC
Molecule: transfer RNA, 74 nt
Organism: Coriobacteriales bacterium
Lineage: Bacteria; Bacillati; Actinomycetota; Coriobacteriia; Coriobacteriales
Rfam family: tRNA
About the family: Transfer RNA (tRNA) molecules are approximately 80 nucleotides in length. Their secondary structure includes four short double-helical elements and three loops (D, anti-codon, and T loops).
Source: Rfam